AGGUGGAGCUCUAGAUGGAGGUGGAUCGGGUACGAGAUAGGAGACUCGAGAGGAUGAGAGGCAACAUCGCAAGGUAAGAUUCCUAUUGCCACAGGAUGAUGCCUCGAGUAGGUCUCAGGUUAGGAGAAGCACAGCAUACGAUGGAGAUGGGAUCGAGCGGCCUAGCUCAACUCUCAUGUUUGUCCAUCCAUGAUCAGCAGGUGAUUGCCCAAGGACAUAGGGGCGAGG
This 228-nucleotide long non-coding RNA is filed under the name Elaeis guineensis (African oil palm). RNAcentral describes it as "long non-coding RNA (EGUI_LNC044844)". The record is from RNAcentral. Lineage: Eukaryota; Viridiplantae; Streptophyta; Magnoliopsida; Arecales; Arecaceae.